Molecule: ribosomal RNA, 502 nt
Filed under: uncultured bacterium
Lineage: Bacteria
Description: partial 16S ribosomal RNA
Rfam family: Bacterial small subunit ribosomal RNA
Source: RNAcentral
GAUGAAUGCUGGCGGCGUGCCUAACACAUGCAAGUCGAGCGGCAGCGCGCUUUACACUGAAUUCUGGCGGCUUCUGAGUAGUACAGAAGAUUUAUUCAAGAGUUUUGUGUAAAAUGUCGGCGAGCGGCGGACGGCUGAGUAACGCGUAGGAAUUUGCCCCAAAGUGAGGAAUAACUGCCCGAAAGGGUAGCUAAUGCCGCGUAUGGUCUUCGGAUUAAAGCCUUCGGGCGCUUUGGGAGAAGCCUGCGUUGGAUUAGGUAGUUGGUAGGGUAAUGGCCUACCAAGCAGACGAUCCAUAGCUGGUCUGAGAGGAUGAUCAGCCAGACUGGAACUGAGACACGGUCCAGACUCCUACGGGAGGCAGCAGUGAGGAAUCUUCCACAAUGGGCGAAAGCCUGAUGGAGCAACGCCGCGUGAAGGAUGAAGGCCUUCGGGUUGUAAACUUCUUUUAUGAGUGAAGAAUAUGACGGUAACUCAUGAAUAAGCACCGGCUAACUACGUG